This is a small nuclear RNA of Camelus dromedarius (Arabian camel), 104 nucleotides long. Lineage: Eukaryota; Metazoa; Chordata; Mammalia; Artiodactyla; Camelidae. The record is from Ensembl.
UUGCUUCAGCAGCCUAUGUACCAAAAUUGGAAUGAUACUGAAAAGAUUAUCAUGGCCCCUGCACCAAGGUGGCACACAGACUCUUAGAGCAUCCAUAUUUUGUG